RNAcentral lists this ribosomal RNA (467 nucleotides) under uncultured bacterium. RNAcentral describes it as "bacterial SSU rRNA". It matches the Rfam family "Bacterial small subunit ribosomal RNA", at positions 71 to 518 of the family's 1533-position model. The record is from RNAcentral.
CUUCGGAUGGACGUCUGUGGAACGAGCGGCGGAUGGGUGAGUAUCACGUGGGCAACCUGCCUCGUAAGCUCGGGAGUAACUCGCGGAAACGCGGGCUAAUACCGAAUGACCCUUGCAUCCGCAUGGAUGCAAGAUAAAAGGCGGCUUUUGCUGUCACUUACAGAUGGGCCCGCGGCGCAUUAGCUAGUUGGUGGGGUAAGUGGCUCACCAAAGCGACGAUGCGUAGCCGACCUGAGAGGGUGAUCGGCCACACUGGGACUGAGACACGGCCCAGACUCCUACGGGAGGCAGCAGUAGGGAAUCUUCCGCAAUGGACGAAAGUCUGACGGAGCAACGCCGCGUGAGUGACGAAGGUCUUCGGAUCGUAAAAACUCUGUUGUCAGGGAAGAACAAGCAUCGGCCGAAUAAGCCGGCGCCUUGACGGUACCUGACCAGAAAGCCCCGGCUAACUACGUGCCAGCAGCUGC